Molecule: ribosomal RNA, 400 nt
Filed under: uncultured bacterium
Lineage: Bacteria
Description: bacterial SSU rRNA
Rfam family: Bacterial small subunit ribosomal RNA
Source: RNAcentral
ACUCCUACGGGAGGCAGCAGUGGGGAAUAUUGCACAAUGGAGGAAACUCUGAUGCAGCAACGCCGCGUGGAGGAUGACACUUUUCGGAGCGUAAACUCCUUUAUAUAGGAAGAUAAUGACGGUACUAUAUGAAUAAGCACCGGCUAACUCCGUGCCAGCAGCCGCGGUAAUACGGAGGUGCAAGCGUUACUCGGAAUCACUGGGCGUAAAGAGCGUGUAGGCGGGUUAUUAAGUCAGAAGUGAAAUCCUAUGGCUCAACCAUAGAACUGCUUUUGAAACUGGUAACCUAGAGUAUGGGAGAGGUAGAUGGAAUUUCUGGUGUAGGGUAAAAUCCGUAGAGAUCAGAAGGAAUACCGAUUGCGAAGGCGAUCUACUGGAACAUUACUGACGCUGAGACGCG